CAACCCUCAAGCCCUAGCUGCUUGGUGUUGGGGUGUUCUCUACAGCAGCUUUUAAAUGGCGCUGUAGGCCCCGAAAGACAUUGGCGGGCUCGCCGCGAACCCAAGCGUAGUAAAUAUCAUUCUCGCUUAGGGGCUUGUAGCGAGUUUCUGGCCACAAAACCCACUAUAAUUACAGAA
Molecule: unclassified non-coding RNA, 177 nt
Filed under: uncultured Sordariomycetes
Lineage: Eukaryota; Fungi; Ascomycota; Sordariomycetes
Description: sequence contains ITS2
Source: RNAcentral